Molecule: ribosomal RNA, 253 nt
Filed under: uncultured bacterium
Lineage: Bacteria
Description: partial 16S ribosomal RNA
Rfam family: Bacterial small subunit ribosomal RNA
Source: RNAcentral
UACAGAGGUCUCAAGCGUUGUUCGGAUUCAUUGGGCGUAAAGGGUGUGUAGGUGGCGCCGUAAGUCGGGGGUGAAAUCUCGGGGCUUAACUCCGAAACUGCAUUCGAUACUGCGGUGCUUGAGGACUGGAGAGGAGACUGGAAUUCCUGGUGUAGCGGUGGAAUGCGCAGAUAUCAGGAGGAACACCGGUGGCGAAGGCGGGUCUCUGGGCAGUAACUGACGCUGAGGAGCGAAAGCGUGGGGAGCGAACAGG